Non-coding RNA from Hordeum vulgare subsp. vulgare (domesticated barley), 76 nucleotides. Lineage: Eukaryota; Viridiplantae; Streptophyta; Magnoliopsida; Poales; Poaceae. The record is from Rfam.
GAAAGCCGUAUGCUUUGGAAGAAGCUUGUACAGUUUGGGAAGGGGUUUUUUGAGAGAAAAGAAGAAUCUACUUCAC